CAGAAAUAGGAGUUCCCUUGCAGCCCAAAACACCCUGCAUGAACUACUUCAUGUUGUUUUGGACUGAAGGGAGCUCCUUCUUCUU
Glycine soja is the source of this 85-nucleotide non-coding RNA. The record is from Rfam. NCBI's taxonomy places the organism in Eukaryota, Viridiplantae, Streptophyta, Magnoliopsida, Fabales, Fabaceae.